GAUGAACGCUAGCGGAACGCCUAACACAUGCAAGUCGAACGAGAGUUAUUUUGUAGCAAUACAAGAUAAUAAAAGUGGCAAACGAGCGAGUAACACGUACUGAACCUGCCCAGAAGUUGAGGCCAACUACAGAGAUGUAGCUAAUCCUCAAUAGUAUCUAAGUGACGAAAUUAGCUUAGAUUAAAGAUUUAUCGCUUUUGGAGGGGGGUGCGUCCUAUCAGGUUGUUGGUGAGGUAAUGGCUCACCAAGCCUAUGACGGGUAGCCGGUCUGAGAUGAUGUCCGGCCGCGAUGGGACUGAGAUACGGCCCAUACUCCUACGGGAGGCAGCAGUGGGGAAUCUUGCACAAUGGGCGAAAGCCUGAUGCAGCGAUUCCGCGUGGAGGAUGACGCAUUACGGUGUGUAAACUCCUUUUCUGGUGGAAGACGAAUGACGGUACACCAGGAAUAAGGGACGGCUAACUACGUGCCAGCAGCCGCGGUAAUACGUAGGUCCCAAGCGUUAUCCGGAUUUACUGGGCGUAAAGCGUCUGUAGCCUGAUAUGUAAGUCUGUUUUCAAAUACCUGGACUCAAUCGAGGGAAGGGGAUAGAUACUGCAUAUCUAGAGAUAUUUGGGGGUUAGUGGAAUUUCCGGUGGAGCGGUGAAAUGCGUUGAUAUCGGAAAGAACGCCAAAAGCGAAAGCAGCUAACUACAAUACAUCUGACGGUGAGAGACGAAAGUUUGGGUAGCAAACGGGAUUAGAUACCCCGGUAGUCCAAACCUUAAAUUAUGCUUGCUAGGUGUUUAGAUCCUUCGGGAUUUGAGUGCCGUAAUCUAACGAGUUAAGCAAGCCGCCUGGGUAGUAUAUUCGCAAGAAUGAAACUCA
RNAcentral lists this ribosomal RNA (865 nucleotides) under uncultured candidate division SR1 bacterium. RNAcentral's name for it is "bacterial SSU rRNA". It matches the Rfam family "Bacterial small subunit ribosomal RNA", at positions 28 to 903 of the family's 1533-position model. The record is from RNAcentral. Lineage: Bacteria; Candidatus Absconditibacteriota.